Transfer RNA from Methyloceanibacter superfactus, 73 nucleotides. It matches the Rfam family "tRNA". From Rfam's summary of the family: Transfer RNA (tRNA) molecules are approximately 80 nucleotides in length. Their secondary structure includes four short double-helical elements and three loops (D, anti-codon, and T loops). Lineage: Bacteria; Pseudomonadati; Pseudomonadota; Alphaproteobacteria; Hyphomicrobiales; Hyphomicrobiaceae. The record is from Rfam.
GCCGGCUUAGCUCAGUUGGUAGAGCGGCUGAUUUGUAAUCAGUAGGUCGGGGGUUCGAAUCCUCCAGCCGGCA